RNAcentral lists this ribosomal RNA (497 nucleotides) under uncultured bacterium. RNAcentral describes it as "partial 16S ribosomal RNA". It matches the Rfam family "Bacterial small subunit ribosomal RNA", at positions 28 to 507 of the family's 1533-position model. The record is from RNAcentral.
GACGAACGCUGGCGGCGUGCCUAAUACAUGCAAGUAGAACGCUGAAGAGAGGAGCUUACUCUUCUUGGAUGAGUUGCGAACGGGUGAGUAACGCGUAGGUAACCUGCCUUGUAGCGGGGGAUAACUAUUGGAAACGAUAGCUAAUACCGCAUAACAAUGGAUGACACAUGUCAUUUAUUUGAAAGGGGCAAUUGCUCCACUACAAGAUGGACCUGCGUUGUAUUAGCUAGUAGGUGAGGUAAUGGCUCACCUAGGCGACGAUACAUAGCCGACCUGAGAGGGUGAGCGGCCACACUGAGACGGAGACACGCCCCAGUGUGCUACAGGUGGCGGCAAUAGGGAUUCGGGAGCAAUGGGGGCAGCACUGACCGAGAAACGCGGAAUGAGGGAGGAGGGAUUUCGCGUGGUGGAGCUCGGUUGUCGGUCUAGAACGGGUGUGCGAGUGGAAAGAUCACAGUGUGACGGUAGCUGACCAGAAAGGGACGGCUAACUACGUG